This is a long non-coding RNA of Herpailurus yagouaroundi (jaguarundi), 901 nucleotides long. RefSeq lists it as uncharacterized. The record is from RefSeq and is a predicted model, not a curated record. The transcript is spliced from 3 exons. Lineage: Eukaryota; Metazoa; Chordata; Mammalia; Carnivora; Felidae.
CAAUAUGCAAGUUUCCAGCUUCUCAUGAAAACUUGGGAGACCUGGUCACACCUGGCCUCCAGGCCUUCCUGACAACAUUCAGCCGAAGCUGAGUGAGGCCGACAUUUCUGUGGGGCCUGUGCUCUCCAGGUCACCCUCUCUUGUCUAAAACCCCCUUCACUCACUACCUGCACUCAUGCUCUGUCUGGUCUCUGUAGACCUUUGCCAACCCUUGCCUUCAGCAGAUUUUUACUUCCACUGUGUAGAACGAGGCUCAUGUAUUUAUCUUCUACCUUACAUCACUUUCUUUUGGAACCUGACUGCUGGUAGAUCAUGAAGGGUCUGGAAUGUUUUGCUAGAGUUUGGACUUUAUCCCAGACCCUUCAUGAUGUACCUCCCAAUGAUGUUUCCAGGCCAUAGCCGCCACACUCCACCAUGUGCACUCUCUGCAGGCGCCGCACCCAGCCCUCCUUUAUUCCCCAGGUACAGCAUUGUGAUCUCCCACCUCUGGCACACUUUAUGCUCCCUGUGCUUAGAAUGCCCUCUGCCUGGCUGCUCAACUCUUCUGGGCUCUAGCACAGCCCAGAUGAAAUGCAUCUCCUGUCCACAGUCCUUCCAACCACAUGCCCACCCAGGGCCACCUGCUAACCCAGACAGUGUCUUAGUGGAAAUUGGAAAAAUGUGCCCCUUCCUCAAGAUUUGUUCUUUUAUCUGCUAGAAAACUGUCCUGAUCAAUAUCUACAUUCAAAUGCUUGCAGUGUGAAUGCUUUCUAAAUUUAGCAUCUUUGUGCAAUAUGUGUGUUGCACAGCUGUACUUGGUGGACUAGCUCCUGCCAGGGUAGAAGGAGAAACUCCUCUGUGCUCCCGCAGGAUUGCCUCACACCCCCACCAGAGAGGAAUAGCAUCUGUAGGGAAAGAAUGU